GAUGAAGAACGCAGCGAGAUGCGAUAAGUAAUGUGAAUUGCAGAAUUCAGUGAAUCAUCGAAUCUUUGAACGCACAUUGCGCCCCUUGGUAUUCCGAGGGGCAUGCCUGUUCGAGCGUCAUUAUAACCCCUCAAGCUCAGCUUGGUGUUGGGGCCUGCUGCACUGGCAGCCCUUAAAAUCAGUGGCGGCGCCAUCUGGCUCUAAGCGUAGUAAUUCUUCUCGCUAUGGAGUCCUGGUGGAUGCUUGCCAUCAACCCCCAAUUUUUCUAUGGUUGACCUCGGAUCAGGUAGGGAUACCCGCUGAACUUAAGCAUAUCAAUAAGGGAGGA
Molecule: unclassified non-coding RNA, 328 nt
Filed under: soil metagenome
Description: partial contains 5.8S ribosomal RNA, internal transcribed spacer 2, and large subunit ribosomal RNA
Rfam family: 5.8S ribosomal RNA (bases 1-120)
Source: RNAcentral